ACGGAAGGGAUGAGUAUUUCCCCAGAUGAUCGAAUCUGAAAUCACCGAGCGCUCUUUCUCUUGCUCGAGAAACAUCCAAGCCAGGAUAUUCUGAUCCAU
Molecule: small nucleolar RNA, 99 nt
Organism: Camellia sinensis
Lineage: Eukaryota; Viridiplantae; Streptophyta; Magnoliopsida; Ericales; Theaceae
Product: small nucleolar RNA Z103
Source: RefSeq, a predicted model, not a curated record